AGUUGUGGUGCUGUACGUUCUGCAGAGUUCAGUGUGAAGAGAUGGAGCUAACACAGGGUGGUCAGGUUGUCAAGGCAACUGUACAAUGCCCCUUUUCUAAUUGAUAGGACUCAUAGAACUAGCUAGGCGUCAUCUUGUUGCUUUAGAAACUCGACUGCCCAGCAUGAGUUGCAUCUCUGUACGCCACACUGUGCAUAUGGCACUGAAGCUAUGGCACUGAAACUCUGGAGCACGAACAUUGUAACUUGAAAAUGCUGUAGCUUGACAACAUAGCUCAGCCUUUGCUGUUUAUGGGGGUUGAUGGAUUCAGCAUGACCACAUCUGCUUUCUCACCUGUUUUCCGGUUUAAAAAAAGAAGACAAUGUUUGAAAAUUUUGAGGGAACAUAUAUCAAUGUUUCUGAUUCA
Molecule: long non-coding RNA, 406 nt
Organism: Hyla sarda
Lineage: Eukaryota; Metazoa; Chordata; Amphibia; Anura; Hylidae
Exons: 3
Source: RefSeq, a predicted model, not a curated record